This 106-nucleotide small nuclear RNA is filed under the name Sciurus vulgaris (Eurasian red squirrel). Lineage: Eukaryota; Metazoa; Chordata; Mammalia; Rodentia; Sciuridae. The record is from RNAcentral.
CUGCUCACUUUGGCAGCAUAUAUACUAAAAUUUGAACGAAACAGAGAAGAUUAGCGUGACCCUGCACGUGGAUGAAAUACAAAUUUGUGAAGCGUUCCAUAUUAAA